CGGUUGUUGGCGGCGGCGGAGUUGGAGGAAGAGAAAAGCUUGUCAUCGAUAAAGCCAGUGAGUUCUCGGGUAGUGGUCUUGGGGCCCCGAUGACCUCCGACGCGGCGCUGGGGAGGCCCGCAGUUGAAGCGCAAGGGAUCAUUUUGGAAGACGAGCUGAGAAUUUAGGCCAUUUUGGGAGGGAACUAAGGAGAUUUCCUCCGUUGACAUAAUUUUGGAGGUCAAAUUGCAUGAAAAUGGAACCCUAAUUUUGAUGAA
Molecule: unclassified non-coding RNA, 257 nt
Filed under: Hevea brasiliensis (rubber tree)
Lineage: Eukaryota; Viridiplantae; Streptophyta; Magnoliopsida; Malpighiales; Euphorbiaceae
Source: RNAcentral